UCGAUAGGAAGGCUAAAGUCACCGCGUCCUGCGGUAACGCAUGACCCACAUCCUGUGGG
RNAcentral lists this small RNA (59 nucleotides) under Paenisporosarcina sp. HGH0030. Its description in RNAcentral is "Bacillaceae-1 RNA". It matches the Rfam family "Bacillaceae-1 RNA". The record is from Rfam by way of RNAcentral. Lineage: Bacteria; Bacillati; Bacillota; Bacilli; Caryophanales; Caryophanaceae.